Molecule: ribosomal RNA, 61 nt
Filed under: Clostridium botulinum C
Lineage: Bacteria; Bacillati; Bacillota; Clostridia; Eubacteriales; Clostridiaceae
Description: partial 23S ribosomal RNA
Source: RNAcentral
ACAGUAAUGUAUUCAGCUGACCAAUACUAAUAGGUCGAGGGCUUGAUCAAAUAUUUAUUAU